Molecule: transfer RNA, 69 nt
Filed under: Planctomycetota bacterium
Lineage: Bacteria; Pseudomonadati; Planctomycetota
Description: tRNA-Ile
Rfam family: tRNA
About the family: Transfer RNA (tRNA) molecules are approximately 80 nucleotides in length. Their secondary structure includes four short double-helical elements and three loops (D, anti-codon, and T loops).
Source: RNAcentral
CCUGUAGCUCAAUGGUAGAGCGCCGGCCUCAUAAGCCGAUCGUGGCAGGUUCGAUUCCUGCCGCGAGAG